GACGAACGCUGGCGGCGUGCUUAACACAUGCAAGUCGAACGGAAAGGCCCUGCUUUUGUGGGGUGCUCGAGUGGCGAACGGGUGAGUAACACGUGAGUAACCUGCCCUUGACUUUGGGAUAACUUCAGGAAACUGGGGCUAAUACCGGAUAGGAGCUCCUGCUGCAUGGUGGGGGUUGGAAAGUUUCGGCGGUUGGGGAUGGACUCGCGGCUUAUCAGCUUGUUGGUGGGGUAGUGGCUUACCAAGGCUUUGACGGGUAGCCGGCCUGAGAGGGUGACCGGCCACAUGGGGCUUGAGAUACGGCCCAGACCCAUACGGGGGGCAGAGGGGGGGAAUAUUGCACAAGGGGCGGAGGCCUGAUGCAGCAACGCCGGGGGGGGGAGGACGGCUUUCGGGUGGUAAACCGUUUUCGCCUGGGACGAGGCGGGGGGGCGGGUAAUGGGAAAAGAAGCCCCGGCUAAUUACGG
RNAcentral lists this ribosomal RNA (467 nucleotides) under uncultured bacterium. RNAcentral's name for it is "partial 16S ribosomal RNA". It matches the Rfam family "Bacterial small subunit ribosomal RNA", at positions 28 to 506 of the family's 1533-position model. The record is from RNAcentral.